GUGCCAGCAGCCGCGGUAAUUAGGGAGGGUGCAAGCGGUUAUUGGAAUUUACUGGGGUAAAAGCGCACGCAGGGCGUUUUGUUAGUUCAGAUGUGAAAUCCCCGGGCUCAACUCCGCGAACUGCAUCUGAUACUGGCAGGCUUGAGUCUCGUAGAGGGGGGUAGAUUUCCAGGUGUAGCGGUGAAAUGCGUAGAGAUCUGGAGGAAUACCGGUGGCGAAGGCGGCCCCCUGGACGAAGACUGACGCUCAGGUGCGAAAGCGUGGGGAGCAAACAGGAUUAGAUACCCUGGUAGUCC
RNAcentral lists this ribosomal RNA (296 nucleotides) under uncultured microorganism. Its description in RNAcentral is "partial 16S ribosomal RNA". It matches the Rfam family "Bacterial small subunit ribosomal RNA", at positions 505 to 796 of the family's 1533-position model. The record is from RNAcentral.